AGCUUGCUGUUUAGAAACUGAAAAAGGGAAGGAACCGAAAGGGAAAGGUUACCUCCCUGUUUCUCUCCGGGACCCAUCAAGAUAUCUCUGCCUCUAAUAAUCGCCUGGAUAGAAAUUUCCAUCUUAGCCCAAAGCAGCUCAACCUGGUUUUGACUAACGCCCCAUCUCCCUUUUUUUGUGUUCCUCUAAGUCAACAAGAGGACCUGGACGAGUCAGACCCUGUGUGGGAAGAUUGGAGAAAAGAAGGAAGGCAUAUAGAAGCAGAGUUGAGUGAAUCUAGCAUGUCAACUUGUCUCUAUGAACUGAAGAGUCAGGAAAAAUCCCCCUUCAAUGUCAAUGCAAAAGUAUCUGAAGACUUUAAAAUACCGGGCACACCAAAGCCAUUGGAAGAGGAAGAGGCAAACAACAAAAACCCCACCACCUGACAGUUCUGGUGAUGACGUGGACCAGCCAGGGCUCAAGUAUCUACUAAUGGAAGGCUAAGCAGGUGCAGCACCCUGGAGGACUGUUUGGUACUUUCUGCUGAACCUAAACAAAUGAAUACCCCAUCACCCAACAGUUUCUCUCCUACCUCAAACCCAAGGGAAAUGAACACAUGUGUGUUCCUGAUGCAUGCAAGAGUGCUCCAAGCAGCACUAUCUGUAAUGGUUCCCAACUAGAGACUGCUCAAAUGUCUAUUAUUGGAAGACUGGAUAAAGAUUGCAGUGUAGGUCAUAAUGAGUAAAUUGUGACAAACUACACUAUAGAAGAAUCUGAAUCUCACAAGCCAAAUACUGAACCUGGACACACACACACACACACACACACACAUAAAUUAAAGUUUUAUUUCUGAAAAUCUUCUGCUGGGCAAAAUUAUCAUGUAGUUUUGUUUCUGAAAAUCUUCUGCUGGGCAAAAUUAUCAUGUGGUAUUAGCUGCUAUAGUAAUGUUCGCCUUGGAGGGAUGUAGUGUGCUUAAAAAGACCAUGUAAGAGCUUUUCUUUUAAAGUUUUUUUUUAAUAUAUACUUUUCAGAGUUUCAUGCAGAAUUUUA
Molecule: long non-coding RNA, 1029 nt
Filed under: Mus musculus (house mouse)
Lineage: Eukaryota; Metazoa; Chordata; Mammalia; Rodentia; Muridae
Description: predicted gene, 35154
Source: RNAcentral